Hippocampus zosterae (dwarf seahorse) is the source of this 407-nucleotide long non-coding RNA. RefSeq lists it as uncharacterized. Lineage: Eukaryota; Metazoa; Chordata; Actinopteri; Syngnathiformes; Syngnathidae. The record is from RefSeq and is a predicted model, not a curated record. The transcript has 3 exons.
UAUAUCCGCUUCAAAGCGUGCCCUCAUUAGAAGCUUUUGUCAUGUAACCGUACCUAGACACAAGGAUGACUCAUUUUCCGCCAGCGAUUCAUUUUCCCCAAAACUCAGAAGUGACUGUUGAGGGCAAACACCCACCGGGCACAAAAGUCGGGUGUCUAGAAAUCGACGGGCUUUUAGCUGUAAUUCAAAUAGAAUAAUGACAGGUCAACAGAUGAACGUCACAAAAGCUCUUUAAGUGAACUCCACCUUUGCGUCGAGUCAUCAUUCAUGAGAGAAUCUGCAUCCCAACAUGGCUUCAAUCAAGUUGACGCUGGUGGCUUUGCUGGCCUUCACACUCUUAAUGUCAGUCAGUCCUGACUCCUCGUCCUCCUCCUCGUCUUCCUCAGAAGAGGAAUCAGAUGCUUAGA